Molecule: ribosomal RNA, 505 nt
Filed under: uncultured bacterium
Lineage: Bacteria
Description: bacterial SSU rRNA
Rfam family: Bacterial small subunit ribosomal RNA
Source: RNAcentral
UGAGUAAUGUCUGGGAAACUGCCUGAUGGAGGGGGAUAACUACUGGAAACGGUGGCUAAUACCGCAUAACGUCGCAAGACCAAAGAGGGGGACCUUCGGGCCUCUUGCCAUCAGAUGUGCCCAGAUGGGAUAGCUAGUAGGGGGGGGGUAAUGGCUCACCUAGGCGACGAUCCCUAGCUGGUCUGAGAGGAUGACCAGCCACACUGGAACUGAGACACGGUCCAGACUCCUACGGGAGGCAGCAGUGGGGAAUAUUGCACAAUGGGCGCAAGCCUGAUGCAGCCAUGCCGCGUGUGUGAAGAAGGCCUUCGGGUUGUAAAGCACUUUCAGCGAGGAGGAAGGUGGUGAACUUAAUACGUUCAUCAAUUGACGUUACUCGCAGAAGAAGCACCGGCUAACUCCGUGCCAGCAGCCGCGGUAAUACGGAGGGUGCAAGCGUUAAUCGGAAUUACUGGGCGUAAAGCGCACGCAGGCGGUUUGUUAAGUCAGAUGUGAAAUCCCCGGG